RNAcentral lists this long non-coding RNA (445 nucleotides) under Panax ginseng (ginseng). RNAcentral describes it as "long non-coding RNA (PGIN_LNC016280)". Lineage: Eukaryota; Viridiplantae; Streptophyta; Magnoliopsida; Apiales; Araliaceae. The record is from RNAcentral.
ACAGCCAUUUUCCUGAUUGAUUGACUGAGAAGGGUAUUCCGCCCUAUUGGUCUUUGGGAUUAUGGUCGCAGCAGACGAAGGCUCACCACAGUGACAGAAAGUUUCACCGAAGUAGAUCCAGAAAUCACACUCCCGAGAGUCCAUUAAGGGCACACCGCCCUGUGGGCACUUGUCUUCGGGGAAAUCCCUCUAAAGUUGCAGCUCCAGAUGGAAAGCAGCUGAGGAGUCCGAUAAAGCCGUUGCAGUACUUCAGCAUAAGCAGAGCUCGUGGACAUUGCAUACAGAUGGAUAUUCUAUUUCGGACAUUAGUAUAGCAGGCUAUUAAGGAGUCGAUCACAAUAACAAUUCCACCGCCGGUGCAUUAUCGAAGCUGGCCACUACAGAUGCUUAUAACUUUGACGACAGAUGGCGUCAUUUCUUCGGAUCAGAUGCUGGCAAAGAAGAC